This 496-nucleotide ribosomal RNA is filed under the name uncultured bacterium. Its description in RNAcentral is "partial 16S ribosomal RNA". It matches the Rfam family "Bacterial small subunit ribosomal RNA", at positions 28 to 506 of the family's 1533-position model. The record is from RNAcentral.
GAUGAACGCUGGCGGCGAGCCUAAUACAUGCAAGUCGAGCGAACAGACGAGGAGCUUGCUCCUCUGAUGUUAGCGGCGGACGGGUGAGUAACACGUGGAUAACCUACCUAUAAGACUGGGAUAACUUCGGGAAACCGGAGCUAAUACCGGAUAAUAUAUUGAACCGCAUGGUUCAAUAGUGAAAGACGGUUUUGCUGUCACUUAUAGAUGGAUCCGCGCCGCAUUAGCUAGUUGGUAAGGUAACGGCUUACCAAGGCGACGAUGCGUAGCCGACCUGAGAGGGUGAUCGGCCACCCUGGAACUGAGAACCGGUCCAGACUCCGACGGGAGGCAGCAGUAGGGAAUCUUCCGCAAUGGGCGAAAGCCUGACGGAGCAACGCCGGGUGAGUGAUGAAGGUUUUCGGAUCGUAAAACUCUGUUAUUAGGGAAGAACAAAUGUGUAAGUAACUAUGCCCGUCUGGACGGUACCUAAUCAGAAAGCCACGGCUAACUACGU